CCUAAAAUGUAUUCUUCGAGCCAGAAAUUACAAGUGAUUAAAAUUAAUGACUAAAGUGUCACACGUCUCACAGUUCGAAUUAGAAAUUAUAAUUAAUUAAAAUUUAAAGACUAAAGUAUCGCGCACCUCAUAGUUUGAGGAUCAGAAAUGUUAGUUAGCUGAACUUUUUUUUUUUUUAUAGGGGCAAUUGCUUAUUUAUUCCUAAAAAAUUUCAAACUUUUCUAUUUACUCCUCUUAGAAAAUUAAUAUAAAAAAUAUUCUUUUAACGUUUUAAGUUAUUUUAAAUGUACCCUACAGUUAGAUUCUACAAGUAAACUGAUAGAAACAGUCAUUAUUUUUGUAAAAUUACUAUUUUGGCCAUUCAAAUAUAUCCUUAUAUCGUCACCAAUUUUUCUUUUAUGCCCUUAGGUAGGGGUAAAAGAGGUAUUGUAAUUUUUUGUCAAUUCUGAUAGAAAUUUAAUCCGAAUUUAAUACAAUAAUAUGACUUAAUGGAUACUAAUAGUGAAAUUAUUUUUAAAUAACGGAGACAUAUGUGGUAUAUAUAUUUGAAAUAAACAUAU
Molecule: long non-coding RNA, 560 nt
Filed under: Ananas comosus (pineapple)
Lineage: Eukaryota; Viridiplantae; Streptophyta; Magnoliopsida; Poales; Bromeliaceae
Description: long non-coding RNA (ACOM_LNC035974)
Source: RNAcentral